RNAcentral lists this long non-coding RNA (1652 nucleotides) under Salmo salar (Atlantic salmon). RNAcentral's name for it is "lncRNA (ENSSSAG00000120397.1)". Lineage: Eukaryota; Metazoa; Chordata; Actinopteri; Salmoniformes; Salmonidae. The record is from RNAcentral.
UUUUGGAUUUCUUUUUAUUAUCGAUCUAACACUUCUUUCCCCCUGCAGUCACUGAACAGUGCGUUAAAUGACUAGUGUUCUCUCCUCCACUUAACUGAAUGGGUGAAUUCAAGGUCAGACACAAGCACAUUUCGCUCAGGGUCAUCUUAUAUAGAGCCCAAGCUGGGAUAACGAGAGAGGCGGUGCACAGCCCCAUGGGAGGUGACGUCACCAACAGCAGUCGGCUCCCUCUCUCUUUCUGUGGCAGUAACCACCAUUAUGACAACACCUGCAUGGAUCUAGUGCAUCACAAGGAAAUCAGCUUGGUUUGCCAUGGAAACCAUUAAUAGCAUGCUACGUCAACAUUCUAAAGACAGAUCGUCGGUGCCAGGCGUCUCGAAUCAAGUAUCUCAAACAGCUGCCCCUCCCGGGCUUUCACACAUGACAGUGUCUAGAGUUUACCGAGAAUGGUGCGACAAACAAAAAACAUCCGGUCAGCAGCAGUCCUGUAGGUGAAAACAGCUUGUUGAUGAGAGAGGUCGAAGGAGAACAACAAUAAUCACGCAAGCUAACUGGCGGGCCACAAACAGACAAAUAACGGCGCAGUACAACAGUGGUGUGCAGAACGGUAUCUCGGAACGCACAACUCGAUCCUUGUCACAGAUGGGCUAUUGCAGCAGACGACCACACCGGGUUCCACUCCUAUCAGAUAAAUCAAGAAGAUGCAGCUCCAGUGGGCACACGAUUACGAACACUGGACAAUUGCGGAGUGGAACAUGACAGCGAGUUCAGUUUACUUGAGUGGCCUGCGCAGGACCCUGUCCUCAAUCCAAUAGAGCAUCUUUGGGAUGUUAUGGAACGGGCUUGGGCAGUACAGAAUGGAAUGGCAGUACAGCAUGAAUGUACUGCUGUCCAAUAUGCAGCAACUGCGUGAUGCCAUCAUGUCAGUAUGGACCAAUAUCCCUAUACCAAACCACACCCUCCCAGCCAUCAUCUGCUUGGUCCCUCUGGCCAAGACCAGGAUCAUGAAGCCUCAGUGGUGAGCUGGAACAUGCAGUGGCUGAAGCUAUGGCCCCUUUGGGCCUGGAGGUCCUGGAGGUCGUAGUGGGAGAGCAACAUGAGAACCCCCCCGGAGCUCCAGCCUUGAGAUCACCAGGGCCUGACUACGUCCUUGUUGCCCCUGUGGUGGUGCCAACAUAUGUGGAGUCAGCCACAGCAGCAACCCGACCAGGCAGUCCCCAGCCACUCACCAAAGGAGAACACCUCUAUGGUUUCAAGAAUCAGCCAUUAGUCACCCAGGAGACUUUCAGCCAGAGGGCCAGCUCUCCAAGAAGAAGAGAAGAUUGGAGGACUGUGACAGUUUUCUCAUCCCUAUGAUGCCACCAUGGGUUCCCUGUAAGAGAAUGAGCCAGUGCCACCCAUCAAGCACAUCCUGAAAGAAACUCAAAAGGUCAGAUAAGGUCAGUGACAGUGUGAUCGUCUCAAGUGUGACCGGGGUCACCCGGAAGAGGACACUGGAAUCAGCCGUUUGACCAGGAAGUUCAGUGUCUGAAGGAACCAAUCAGAAGAGACAGAGGGUCUGAUCAUCAACUGAACUGAUGUCAACUGAUCUCAACUAACCUUUCAUUGCAUGCUGUUGCAUUUGUUUUGUUUUUUGCUUUCGCUUUUGUGGC